UGGGGGAUAUUGCACAAUGGGGGAAACCCUGAUGCAGCGACGCCGCGUGUAGGAAGACGGUCCUCUGGAUUGUAAACUACUGUCUUCGGGGACGAUAAUGACGGUACCCGAGGAGGAAGCUCCGGCUAACUACGUGCCAGCAGCCGCGGUAAUACGUAGGGAGCGAGCGUUGUCCGGAAUUACUGGGUGUAAAGGGAGCGUAGGCGGGAAGGUAAGUUGGGCGUGAAAGGCAGGGGCUCAACCCCUGGAGUGCGCUUGAUACUGUGAUGCUAGAGUCAUGGAGGGGGAACCGGAACUCUCGGUGUAGCAGUGAAAUGCGUAGAUAUCGAGAAGAACACUCGUGGCGAAGGCGGGUUCCUGGACAUGUACUGACGCUGAGGUACGAAGGCUAGGGGAGCGAAAG
This 403-nucleotide ribosomal RNA is filed under the name uncultured bacterium. Its description in RNAcentral is "bacterial SSU rRNA". It matches the Rfam family "Bacterial small subunit ribosomal RNA", at positions 355 to 774 of the family's 1533-position model. The record is from RNAcentral.